UACGUAGGGUGCAAGCGUUAAUCGGAAUUACUGGGCGUAAAGCGUCCGCAGGUGGCUUGAUAAGAUAGACGUGAAAUCCCUGGGCUCAACCUAGGAAUUGCGUUUAUGACUGUCUCGCUAGAGUAUGGGAGAGGGGGGUGGAAUUCCGCGUGUAGCAGUGAAAUGCGUAGAGAUGCGGAGGAACACCGAUGGCGAAGGCAACCCCCUGGCCUAAUACUGACACUCAUGGACGAAAGCGUGGGGAGCAAACAGG
Molecule: ribosomal RNA, 253 nt
Filed under: uncultured bacterium
Lineage: Bacteria
Description: partial 16S ribosomal RNA
Rfam family: Bacterial small subunit ribosomal RNA
Source: RNAcentral